This 253-nucleotide ribosomal RNA is filed under the name uncultured bacterium. RNAcentral's name for it is "partial 16S ribosomal RNA". It matches the Rfam family "Bacterial small subunit ribosomal RNA", at positions 524 to 776 of the family's 1533-position model. The record is from RNAcentral.
GACAGAGGGUGCAAACGUUGCUCGGAAUCACUGGGCGUAAAGCGCACGUAGGCGGAUCUUUAAGUCAGAGGUGAAAUCCCAAGGCUCAACCUUGGAACUGCCUUUGAUACUGGGGAUCUUGAGUCCGGGAGAGGUGAGUGGAACUGCGAGUGUAGAGGUGAAAUUCGUAGAUAUUCGCAAGAACACCAGUGGCGAAGGCGGCUCACUGGCCCGGUACUGACGCUGAGGUGCGAAAGCGUGGGGAGCAAACAGG